AAAAGUCUGUCCUCAUUUUUCUUAUGAACCCUAAGCUACACUGACUGGCUCAGCUUGUGCCUACCCUCCGCUGGCAGGUGAGGGUAACACGUUGAACUCCAUUUGUGAUGGGGACCAGGGAUUGCAAUUCUUCUCUGUGUAUGAGGAAUUCUCAGUAAAUGUGGGUCAUAAGUGGAUGUUGAUUAA
RNAcentral lists this non-coding RNA (186 nucleotides) under Eurypyga helias (sunbittern). RNAcentral describes it as "Eukaryotic small subunit ribosomal RNA". It matches the Rfam family "Eukaryotic small subunit ribosomal RNA", at positions 1456 to 1647 of the family's 1831-position model. The record is from Rfam by way of RNAcentral. Lineage: Eukaryota; Metazoa; Chordata; Aves; Eurypygiformes; Eurypygidae.